CUCGCUGCACAAAAAAGAGAAAUUACAUUUCUUGGCAAUAAAUGUUUUCUCUGGUAGUUUCACUUCUGCUUCACUUCAGAUUGGUUUCCUCUGUUUCUUUCCAUCGGUCCAGCCCACCUCCUCAGCCUUAGCCUGCCAUCAUUGCUGAGCUCAGGCUCUACCUUGCAGCCUCAUCAACAUCACUACUUACAGCAUGGACAAAGGACAUAGGACAAUGCUGUAUGUAAGCUUGAUAACUGGCAGUCUUCUGGUUAUCCUGCUUGUCAUUUGCUUCCUGUGCUGGCGACGAAGUACGUGGACCACCAUGAGAAUGCUAUAUCAUAGGAGUAUAACAACUGCAUCACUUUUAAUAACCAUAUGUGUUUUGCAUUAGCUCUUUUCAUGAA
This 386-nucleotide long non-coding RNA is filed under the name Scleropages formosus (Asian bonytongue). RNAcentral's name for it is "lncRNA (ENSSFOG00015026153.1)". Lineage: Eukaryota; Metazoa; Chordata; Actinopteri; Osteoglossiformes; Osteoglossidae. The record is from RNAcentral.